Molecule: long non-coding RNA, 727 nt
Filed under: Fukomys damarensis (Damara mole-rat)
Lineage: Eukaryota; Metazoa; Chordata; Mammalia; Rodentia; Bathyergidae
Description: lncRNA (ENSFDAG00000022150.1)
Source: RNAcentral
GCUGGCUAUCUGUAAACCCACACAUAAAAGUGUGAUAAGUAUCAAUAUUAAAGUGCACUUGACGUGAUAGAUACAAAAUACUUUUGUAUUAUAAAAUCACUCCUAGGGUUAAAAACAAAAAUCUUGCCUGAUGGCUUCCCCAGCUGCCAUGGCUCCUUAUUCAGCUGUUUCUUCCUCGGAUCCUCAUCAACCAUGCUACCUAUUGAGUAAUCCAGGCAUUCUUACGGUUAUCUCAUCCACACUUCUUGCUAAUUGCCUACAUGGUCUAGGUUCUCAGGGAUUAAGUUCAUAUAAUGCACCUUAGGGAAAAAAUGCUUUCCGUUGGGAACAUAGGGCGUUUCGAUAAAUGUCCUCUGCUGAUUCCAAUCGUAUAACACAACUGGUCCUCCCGAGGGCAGUAAGUGCUUUUACAUCUUUUACUGGGUGCUAAAGAAGAUAACCAGAGUUCUCACCUCAAUGGAAAUUACGAUGGUCGUAAAAGUGUCCUGUCUUCAUGGAACCCGGGAUGGCCGUGCGAUUCAAGCAAGGGCAACGCAGUUCUCCUACCCUGGGAUUCUGAUGCACGUAAGGGUGAGUGACCGCUUGGAGCUGAUGAACUCCAGCACCAACAGCUCUCCUUUAUUUCUGAUUAUUCACAUCUGGGAGGUGCCUUUGACAGUGACCUUCCAGACACCAGGUGUUCAAGUUUUCCUUACAUCUAUGUCUUGUCCUAUACGCUCUAAGCCAU